CCUACGGGUGGCAGCAGUGGGGAAUAUUGCACAAUGGGCGAAACCCUGAUGCAGCGACGCCGCGUGAGUGAUGAAGUAUUUCGGAAUGUAAAGCUCUAUCAGCAGGGAAGAACAUGACCGUUCCUGAUUAAGAAGCCCCGGCAUACUACGUGCCAGCAGCCGCGGUCAUACUUAGGGGGCGAGCGUUCUCUGGAUUUACUGGGGGUAAAGGGAGCGGAGACGGCAGCGCAAGUCUGAAGUGAAAUGCCGGGGCUUAACCCCGGAACUGCUUUGGAAACUGGGCAGCUAGAGUGCAGGAGAGGUAAGUGGAAUUCCUAGUGUAGCGGUGAAAUGCGUAGAUAUUAGGAGGAACACCAGUGGCGAAGGCGGCUUACUGGACUGUAACUGACGCUGAGGGUCGAAAGCGUGGGGAGCAAACAGGAUUAGAUACCCGGGUAGUC
This 440-nucleotide ribosomal RNA is filed under the name uncultured bacterium. Its description in RNAcentral is "partial 16S ribosomal RNA". It matches the Rfam family "Bacterial small subunit ribosomal RNA", at positions 338 to 795 of the family's 1533-position model. The record is from RNAcentral.